Molecule: transfer RNA, 74 nt
Filed under: Candidatus Latescibacterota bacterium
Lineage: Bacteria; Pseudomonadati; Candidatus Latescibacterota
Also listed under: 1 other name
Description: tRNA-Gln
Rfam family: tRNA
About the family: Transfer RNA (tRNA) molecules are approximately 80 nucleotides in length. Their secondary structure includes four short double-helical elements and three loops (D, anti-codon, and T loops).
Source: RNAcentral
UGCGGGGUCGUAUAAUGGCAAUACACGCGGCUCUGGACCGCGUUAUCGGGGUUCGAAUCCCUGCCCCGCAGCCA